Molecule: ribosomal RNA, 274 nt
Filed under: uncultured bacterium
Lineage: Bacteria
Description: partial 16S ribosomal RNA
Rfam family: Bacterial small subunit ribosomal RNA
Source: RNAcentral
AUACGGAGGGGGUUAGCGUUGUUGGGAAUUACUGGGCGUAAAGCGCACGUAGGCGGACUGGAAAGUUGGGGGUGAAAUCCCGGGGCUCAACCCCGGAACUGCCUCCAAAACUUCCAAUCUAGAGAUCGAGAGAGGUGAGUGGAAUUCCAAGUGUAGAGGUGAAAUUCGUAGAUAUUUGGAGGAACACCAGUGGCGAAGGCGGCUCACUGGCUCGAUACUGACGCUGAGGUGCGAAAGCGUGGGGAGCAAACAGGAUUAGAAACCCCGGUAGUCC